GGCAGGGUAGCUCAGUUGGUUAGAGCGUGGGACUCAUAAGCCCGAGGUCGAGAGUUCGAUUCUCUCCCCUGCUACCA
Molecule: transfer RNA, 77 nt
Filed under: Candidatus Berkelbacteria bacterium CG_4_8_14_3_um_filter_42_13
Lineage: Bacteria; Candidatus Berkelbacteria
Also listed under: 2 other names
Description: tRNA-Met
Rfam family: tRNA
About the family: Transfer RNA (tRNA) molecules are approximately 80 nucleotides in length. Their secondary structure includes four short double-helical elements and three loops (D, anti-codon, and T loops).
Source: RNAcentral